GAUUCUUUGGACUAGGCAGAAAGUGAUCAAUUUCCUCUCCUCUCAUAUUAUCCUCAACCUGCGGCCUAUUUGUACUCCUGAUUGAACUAUUGGGAUAAAAGGGUUAAGAAGAACAAAAUUGUUGGAGAGAUUUUUGAAUUUUUAUGAUAAUUUCUUGGUGUCCCAGGAUCUACUGAAUGUCUCAACAGAGGAACUGUUUCUUCCACUUCACAAGUUAUAAUUUUUGACUUGAUAAAGAAUGACGCAAGCCUUGAGUUUCCCUGGGAAUGAUGGCUGUCAUACCUCUGAGGAAAACACAUGGAUUAGAGCAAGAGAAAAUCUAGUGACUGAAAAAGAAUAAGAAGAAAAACACUGACCAAGAUAAUAAUCCCAAGAAGUCAAAAAUUAAGACCUGAGAGGAAGAAGGCAGACUAAAGAAAGUAGGUGAGACAGUGACC
This 437-nucleotide long non-coding RNA is filed under the name Macaca mulatta (Rhesus monkey). RNAcentral describes it as "lncRNA (ENSMMUG00000051525.1)". The record is from RNAcentral. Lineage: Eukaryota; Metazoa; Chordata; Mammalia; Primates; Cercopithecidae.